GGGGAUUUAGCUCAGAGGUAGAGCGCUUGCCUAGCAAGCGCAAGGCCCUGGGUUGGAUCCCCAGCUCCG
Molecule: transfer RNA, 69 nt
Filed under: Rattus norvegicus (Norway rat)
Lineage: Eukaryota; Metazoa; Chordata; Mammalia; Rodentia; Muridae
Rfam family: tRNA
About the family: Transfer RNA (tRNA) molecules are approximately 80 nucleotides in length. Their secondary structure includes four short double-helical elements and three loops (D, anti-codon, and T loops).
Source: Rfam by way of RNAcentral